UACGUAGGUGGCAAGCGUUGUCCGGAUUUAUUGGGUUUAAAGGGUGCGUAGGCGGCCCCUGUAAGUCAGUGCUGAAAUACCCCGGCUUAACCGGGGGGUGGCAUUGAUACUGCAGGGCUUGAGUACAGAUGAGGUAGGCGGAAUUGACGGUGUAGCGGUGAAAUGCAUAGAUAUCGUCAAGAACACCGAUAGCGAAGGCAGCUUACUGGGCUGUAACUGACGCUGAUGCACGAAAGUGUGGGGAUCAAACAGG
This 253-nucleotide ribosomal RNA is filed under the name uncultured bacterium. Its description in RNAcentral is "partial 16S ribosomal RNA". It matches the Rfam family "Bacterial small subunit ribosomal RNA", at positions 524 to 776 of the family's 1533-position model. The record is from RNAcentral.